RNAcentral lists this ribosomal RNA (254 nucleotides) under uncultured bacterium. RNAcentral describes it as "partial 16S ribosomal RNA". It matches the Rfam family "Bacterial small subunit ribosomal RNA", at positions 524 to 776 of the family's 1533-position model. The record is from RNAcentral.
UACGUAGGUGGCAAGCGUUUGUCCAGAAUUAUUGGGCGUAAAGCGCGCGCAGGCGGUCCUUUAAGUCUGAUGUGAAAGCCCACGGCUCAACCGUGGAGGGUCAUUGGAAACUGGGGGACUUGAGUACAGAAGAGGAAAGCGGAAUUCCACGUGUAGCGGUGAAAUGCGUAGAGAUGUGGAGGAACACCAGUGGCGAAGGCGGCUUUCUGGUCUGUAACUGACGCUGAGGCGCGAAAGCGUGGGGAGCAAACAGG